This 118-nucleotide ribosomal RNA is filed under the name Schistocerca americana (American grasshopper). Lineage: Eukaryota; Metazoa; Arthropoda; Insecta; Orthoptera; Acrididae. The record is from RNAcentral.
GCCAACGGCCAUACCAUGUUGAAUACACCGGUUCUCGUCCGAUCACCGAAGUUAAACAACAGCGGGCGUGGUUAGUACUUGAUGGGUGACCACCUGGGAACACCACGUGCUGUUGGGC